GACGAACGCUGGCGGCGUGCUUAACACAUGCAAGUCGAACGGGACGGCCCUGCCUUGUUGGGGUGGUCUAGUUGCGAACGGGUAACUUGCCCUUGAGUUCCCUGCCCUUGACUUUGGGAUGAGUUCAGGCCGCUGGGUGUAAUAGGGGCUAGGAGCUCUCGCUGUUUGGUGGGGGCUGGAUAGUUUCGGUGGUUGGGGAUGGACUCGCGUCCUAUGAGCUUGUUGGUUGGGUAGUGGAUUAGCAUGGCUUUGACGGGUAGCCGGCCUGAGAGGGUGACAGGCCACACUGGGCCUGAGAUACGGCCCAGACUCCUACGGGAGGCAGCAGUGGGGAAUAUUGCACAAUGGGCGGAAGCCUGAUGCAGCAACGCAGCGUGCGGGAUGACGGCCUGCGGGUUGUAAACCGCUUUCGCCUGUGACGAAGCGUGAGUGACGGUAAUGGGUAAAGAAGCACCGGCUAACUACGUG
This 468-nucleotide ribosomal RNA is filed under the name uncultured bacterium. Its description in RNAcentral is "partial 16S ribosomal RNA". It matches the Rfam family "Bacterial small subunit ribosomal RNA", at positions 28 to 507 of the family's 1533-position model. The record is from RNAcentral.